UACGUAGGGUGCAAGCGUUUGUCCGGAAUUAUUGGGCGUAAAGGGCGCGCAGGCGGUACGGCACGUCCGUUGUGAAAUCGCUCGGCUCAACUGGGCGGGGUCAGCGGAUACGGCCGCACUUGAGCAAGCUAAGGGGCAAUGGAAUUCCCGGUGUAGUGGUGGAAUGCGCAGAUAUCAGGAGGAACACCGAUGGCGAAGGCAGGUCUCUGGGCCGAUACUGACGCUGAGGAGCGAAAGCGUGGGGAGCGAACAGG
RNAcentral lists this ribosomal RNA (254 nucleotides) under uncultured bacterium. Its description in RNAcentral is "partial 16S ribosomal RNA". It matches the Rfam family "Bacterial small subunit ribosomal RNA", at positions 524 to 776 of the family's 1533-position model. The record is from RNAcentral.